This 750-nucleotide ribosomal RNA is filed under the name uncultured bacterium. RNAcentral describes it as "bacterial SSU rRNA". It matches the Rfam family "Bacterial small subunit ribosomal RNA", at positions 8 to 753 of the family's 1533-position model. The record is from RNAcentral.
AGAGUUUGAUCCUGGCUCAGGACGAACGCUGGCGGCGUGCCUAAUACAUGCAAGUCGAGCGGGUCUCUUCGGAGGCCAGCGGCGGACGGGUGAGGAACACGUGGGUAAUCUGCCUUUCAGGCCGGAAUAACGCCCGGAAACGGGCGCUAAUGCCGGAUACGCCCGCGAGGAGGCAUCUUCUUGCGGGGGAAGGCCCAAUUGGGCCGCUGAGAGAGGAGCCCGCGGCGCAUUAGCUGGUUGGCGGGGUAACGGCCCACCAAGGCGACGAUGCGUAGCCGACCUGAGAGGGUGACCGGCCACACUGGGACUGAGACACGGCCCAGACUCCUACGGGAGGCAGCAGUAGGGAAUCUUCCGCAAUGGGCGCAAGCCUGACGGAGCAACGCCGCGUGAGCGAAGAAGGCCUUCGGGUUGUAAAGCUCUGUUGCUCGGGGAGAGCGGCAUGGGGGAUGGAAAGCCCCAUGCGAGACGGUACCGAGUGAGGAAGCCCCGGCUAACUACGUGCCAGCAGCCGCGGUAAAACGUAGGGGGCGAGCGUUGUCCGGAAUCACUGGGCGUAAAGGGUGCGUAGGCGGUCGAGCAAGUCUGGAGUGAAAGUCCAUGGCUCAACCAUGGGAUGGCUUUGGAAACUGCUUGACUUGAGUGCUGGAGAGGCAAGGGGAAUUCCACGUGUAGCGGUGAAAUGCGUAGAGAUGUGGAGGAAUACCAGUGGCGAAGGCGCCUUGCUGGACAGUGACUGACGCUGAGGCA